RNAcentral lists this ribosomal RNA (253 nucleotides) under uncultured bacterium. Its description in RNAcentral is "partial 16S ribosomal RNA". It matches the Rfam family "Bacterial small subunit ribosomal RNA", at positions 524 to 776 of the family's 1533-position model. The record is from RNAcentral.
UACAGAGGUGGCAAGCGUUGUUCGGAAUUACUGGGCGUAAAGGGCGCGUAGGCGGCCUUCUAUGUCGGACGUGAAAGCCCCAGGCUUAACCUGGGAACUGCGUCUGAUACUGGGAGGCUUGGAUUCGGGAGAGGGAUGUGGAAUUCCAGGUGUAGCGGUGAAAUGCGUAGAUAUCUGGAGGAACACCGGUGGCGAAGGCGGCAUCCUGGACCGAGAUCGACGCUGAGGCGCGAAAGCUAGGGGAGCAAACGGG